Long non-coding RNA from Oncorhynchus tshawytscha (Chinook salmon), 344 nucleotides. The record is from Ensembl. Lineage: Eukaryota; Metazoa; Chordata; Actinopteri; Salmoniformes; Salmonidae.
UGUGUUGGGACCCAGUCAGUCAGCAGGGUUAGUGUGUUGGGACCAGUCAGUCAGCAGGGUUAGUGUGUUGGGACCAUCAAAUCAGCAGGGUUAGUGUGUUGGGACCAGUCAGUCAGCAGGGUUAGUGUGUUGGGACCAGUCAGUCAGCAGGGUUAGUGUGUUGGGACCAGUCAUAGGGUUGGGGACCAGUCAGUCAGCAGGGUUAGUGUGUUGGGACCAGUCAGUCAACAGGGUUAGUGUGUUGGGACCAGUCAGUAGCAGGGUUAGUGUGUUGGGACCAGUCAACAGGGUUAGUGUGUUGGGACCAGUCAGCAGGGUUAGUGUGUUGGGACCAGUCAGCAGGG